RNAcentral lists this transfer RNA (66 nucleotides) under uncultured Lachnoclostridium sp. It matches the Rfam family "tRNA", at positions 5 to 66 of the family's 71-position model. Rfam says of the family: Transfer RNA (tRNA) molecules are approximately 80 nucleotides in length. Their secondary structure includes four short double-helical elements and three loops (D, anti-codon, and T loops). Lineage: Bacteria; Bacillati; Bacillota; Clostridia; Lachnospirales; Lachnospiraceae. The record is from RNAcentral.
GCCAUGGCUCAGUCGGUAGAGCGUCACCUUGGUAAGGUGAAGGUCACGGGUUCGAUUCCCGUUGGU